Molecule: antisense RNA, 75 nt
Filed under: Streptomyces sp. 846.5
Lineage: Bacteria; Bacillati; Actinomycetota; Actinomycetes; Kitasatosporales; Streptomycetaceae
Description: ASpks TB sRNA
Rfam family: ASpks TB sRNA
Source: Rfam by way of RNAcentral
CUUAACCGACCCCAGCCACAACGGCCGCUCCGACCCACGGCCCUGACCAUAGGUCGCCAACAACGCCUGCGCCUC